This 93-nucleotide transfer RNA is filed under the name Euroglyphus maynei. It matches the Rfam family "tRNA". From Rfam's summary of the family: Transfer RNA (tRNA) molecules are approximately 80 nucleotides in length. Their secondary structure includes four short double-helical elements and three loops (D, anti-codon, and T loops). Lineage: Eukaryota; Metazoa; Arthropoda; Arachnida; Sarcoptiformes; Pyroglyphidae. The record is from Rfam by way of RNAcentral.
GCCUCGGUAGCGCAGAAGGCAGCGCGUCAGUCUCAUAAUCAAAAAGGAAUUUGUGCGAUCUGAAGGUCGUGAGUUCGAGCCUCACCCGGGGCA